UACGGGGGGAGCAAGCGUUGUUCGGAUUUACUGGGCGUAAAGGGCGCGUAGGCGGGCGGUCAAGUCGGUGGUGAAAUCCUUCAGCUCAACUGGAGAAUGGCCGCCGAUACUGACUGCCUCGAGGGAGGUAGGGGCACGCGGAACUUCCGGUGGAGCGGUGAAAUGCGUAGAUAUCGGAAGGAACGCCGGUGGCGAAAGCGGCGUGCUGGACCUCUUCUGACGCUGAGGCGCGAAAGCCAGGGGAGCAAACGGG
RNAcentral lists this ribosomal RNA (253 nucleotides) under uncultured bacterium. Its description in RNAcentral is "partial 16S ribosomal RNA". It matches the Rfam family "Bacterial small subunit ribosomal RNA", at positions 524 to 776 of the family's 1533-position model. The record is from RNAcentral.